Dendrobium catenatum is the source of this 730-nucleotide long non-coding RNA. RefSeq lists it as uncharacterized. NCBI's taxonomy places the organism in Eukaryota, Viridiplantae, Streptophyta, Magnoliopsida, Asparagales, Orchidaceae. The record is from RefSeq and is a predicted model, not a curated record. The transcript has 2 exons.
CCCAAUGCAGGUGGGUGGCCUCGUUAGGUUCUGCCGAGGGAUUAGUUACGCUGCCAAGCGCUCCCUUUGGAGUGGUAGCGGAUAGAUAACCCCGUUCCUAAAAAAAAAUUCAUUAUCGAUAUGCGUGUAGCAAACACAUUAAAGAUGACAGCCAUGCUCUCUGAUAAGUAUAUUUGUUUUCUUCUUGAUUUUGAUAUUCUCCAGGUGAUCAUGCUGUGCAUGAGAGGCAUCGAGAACUAGACCUUUUAAGAGCAAGAUUGCUUGAGAUGCCCCACCUCCCAUUUACAACUGCUAUAUUGCUCUGAAAAUGCUUGGUAUCUGCAUUUUUUUCACAGUAAGAAACACUGGUCUCACAGAGGUUGGCAGAUAUGGAAGUUCAAUUCAUCAUAGAAUUUUUUAAUAUACUCCUCAAGACUUUCUGCUAUUAAACAAGCAAUAAACCGAUGAGAAACCGGAUUUUAUGAGGUUGGUGAGAAGAAUAAUGGGCUGGAGAAUGGAUAUCAGUUUCCCAGCACUCUUCUUGAUGCGUACAUUUUUAUGAUUACCCAGCUUUGGAAGGUAAAUAUUACUUAAACCUUCCUUUGAAGUUCUGCAUUUAUGUUUUAAAUGUUGUUGGUACAGAAGAAUUCUUGAAUUUAUUACUGUUAUUCUAUCGUUCUGCUGUCACUUAUGUUAGUAAUGAUAGCAUAAAUUUUUGGUCUGCUAUUAAUGUUGGAAUGACAUUUUGUCA